CAGAUAGCAAAGUUUCUGGCACAAAUCUGGCUUACAUUGGGCAUUUAUGGCUAAAUUUAGGCUCUCUUUUGUUCACACCUUUGUGUGAAACAGCUUUCGGGGGAGUUGUGGGGUGAGGCUAGCCAGCCAAAAGCAAAAGGUACAUUUUUGGCUGAGUCCUGGCUUAAGUGUGGUCUGCCAGAAAAUAGUAAAUAUAUGGCAGAGUUCUGGCUAAGGUUUGGUUGGCCAAAGAGUAAAAAAAACACCAAAUAAAAUCAUUUACAAUUGAUAAAAACAUCAAAGUUAAUAUUUAAGGCAAUAAUAAAUAUGUUUAUCCUUAUUAAAAGACGAAAUGUAGAAAAUGUUAUUUUGGGCAGUUAAUCCAAAGGUGUCAAUGUGCAAUAUACAAACAAUGCAAUAAACAGAUAAAUUAAUAAUUCAGUCUGCACUAAUAUACAUCAAACAAAAGUAUUUUAAGUAUGUGUGCUUGUUUAAGUCUUUUUAGUUUUGUAUUUUAUUUUUUAUAAAUAAAUAAGACUUUACAUUAAAUUGUGUUUACAAUUAAAAAAUACGACUAACUAAUACUAAUAUUUAUUGGUGCACUUUCGUUUCUAAAACAAUGACAUAUAUUGCAAUGGAUCUUGGAAAUAGUAGUCCUUUAACCUCAACAGCGUUCAAUCCGCCGUGGAAAAUGAACUACCUUUCCCAUAAUGCAACUGGUCAUGAUCAGGAACUUCCGCGAAAUUCAAACCCCCACUGUGUACUGGACGAAGGACACGCGAUCUUUUGUCUUGUGGAGUUUUAUAUAACACAGUAAGGUAAGUUAUUAAGAUACUUUUCUUUUAAAUCCACGUAGAUUGCACUUAUUGUUCUACAGCGCGAUAUCCAGUUGGUUUUCGUUUUUGUUUGUUAUUCUUUUCUGUGAUGUAUUUUCGUGUAAGUGCAAGUAUUUUAUCAUCAGUCGCCAUUUAACGUAGAUAACGUUAAACAUGCAUGUUUUUACAGUAAGAGACGCAACAUGCAUGACGGGGAUGAUAAAAUAAUCAAUAAGAAGUUUGAAUCUUUAAAUGAAUGCUGAACCCCAAAGAAGCCAAACGAAGAUUAGAUGUUUUCUGUACUAAACCACAAAUCAGCAUUUGCUGGUAAUCAUAACAGUUACAAAGUGACUCAUUCAUUCCAACUAUUUAUAUCUUAGUAAAACAAUGUUUUUGAUAUUCUAGAAAGGCAUGUAUUCAAGUUUUAGCUUAAUAAAGAUGGUUUACUAUGAUCUCUUAUUCUCUUCAGUCCUGGUCAGUGCAGUUUACAAGACUGUGUUGUUAAAAGGCCAGAUUUAUUUGCUUUAUUUUAUGGUGUAACAUAACCAACCCCACUUGAAGAAUAACCACAUGCUUUUGUAAAGAAUUUAAUAUGCAAGCAUUUUGUAUGUGUUUGUUUUAAUCUUUUAUUUUACAGUAUAAAGUUUAAUUAUAUUUGCAUUUUGUUUGCAGAAGUCAUGUACCACACUUUGUCAACAAUAAAUGUUGUUUCUGCAAUCUGGAUAAAGAAUAAUAUAUUACUGCCUCUUGGAGAACAGCCGGCCGUACUCCAGACAGAGACAAAGACGUGAGGACAUCUAUUGCUUUUAAGUCAUGUACCACACUUUGUCAACAAUGCAUGUUGUUCCUGCAAUCUGGAUGAAGAAUAAUGUAUUACUGCCUCUUGGGAAAACAGCAGACUGUACUCCAGACAGAGACAAAGACAUGAGGACAUCCAUUGCUUUUAAGUCCUAUACCAGACUAUGUUGUUCCAGCUGUCUGGGUAAAGACUGAUACAUUACUGCCUCUUGGAGAACAGCAAACCAUUCUCAGACAGAGACAAAGACAUGGACAUCAAAACAGAAAAUUAAGUACUUGAUCUUGGAUUGUUUGGAGUGAACGCUGGAAAAUAAUGAAGCAGGAAAUUGACUAAAACAAUUUUUGUACUUGGCUGUAAGAAGUCCUUUGUGUGCACAGACAUGACUGGAGAUUAAAGUUACUAAAUGUUGCUUUUUUUCUAGCUGGUGACAUAACAUGGUAUUAUUUUCAAAUGUAUUUAUCUAAUACACAUUUGCACAUCUGUAAACAUUCAUUUUAUAUAGGAUGUUUUUUAUAUUUAACCAGUUGUUGUAUAUUGCUUUCUGUUAUUACAUCUGUUUUUUUUUUGCCUGUUUAUUGUUUAAAACAAUUAAGUUAAUGUUUCUCUGUUAGCUUUUAUGUUACUUUGGCUAUUUCUUUGCUUUUAUUUGAUCCUUCUACUGUUAUUUGUUUAUUUGGCAGAACAUUGACAUUUCAUUUAUUUUGCUGUUAUCUGAAAUAAAAUCAAUAAAACUCUAUAUUUGCUUUAUAUCUGUGUUUUUCAAUUACACAUUUUACGGGAUAUAAAUAUAUUUUGGUCACUUUAUGGCUAUUUUCUGGGGCAUCUGGAUAAGUUGUGGGUGGGUUCUGGGGUAAAUAUGGUAAUUUUGGUUAUUUUAUGGGUUACAUUUGGGGUUUCUGGAAAAGUUGUGGGUAAGUUUGGGGAUAAAUGUGGUAAUUUGGGCUGUUUUUUGGUUGUUAUCUGGAGAUUCCGGGAGAGCUGUGGCUGAUUUCUCGAGGUGUGAAAGGGUUGCGGCUAAGUUAUGGUCUGCUUUCGGCUAGAUUCUGGAUUACUUAAGGCAAGCAGCUCUGGGACCAAUCAAGGACCGUAAGCCGUGGCGGCAUGUGUGCCAAAAGAACAGCCUGAACUCAGCCAUUUCUGGCCCUGAAAAAUUUUGCUAUCUGGGUAUUAAUGUGG
Misgurnus anguillicaudatus (oriental weatherfish) is the source of this 2769-nucleotide non-coding RNA. The record is from RefSeq and is a predicted model, not a curated record. Lineage: Eukaryota; Metazoa; Chordata; Actinopteri; Cypriniformes; Cobitidae.